This is a non-coding RNA of Ovis aries (sheep), 73 nucleotides long. The record is from Rfam. NCBI's taxonomy places the organism in Eukaryota, Metazoa, Chordata, Mammalia, Artiodactyla, Bovidae.
UCCCUGAUAGCUCAGUUGGUAAAGAAUCUGCCUGCAAUGCAGGAGACCCCAGGUCGAUUUCUGGGUCGGGAAG